GAGAGGAAAAGAGUUCUCAUGUGUGUUCAUAAAACGAAGAAACAACAAAACACAAUAAUACACACGAAUCA
RNAcentral lists this transfer RNA (71 nucleotides) under Extubocellulus spinifer. The record is from RNAcentral. Lineage: Eukaryota; Bacillariophyta; Thalassiosirophyceae; Cymatosirales; Cymatosiraceae.